This 452-nucleotide ribosomal RNA is filed under the name rape rhizosphere bacterium tsb008. Its description in RNAcentral is "bacterial SSU rRNA". It matches the Rfam family "Bacterial small subunit ribosomal RNA", at positions 26 to 476 of the family's 1533-position model. The record is from RNAcentral.
AGAUUGAACGCUGGCGGCAGGCUUAACACAUGCAAGUCGAGCGGGCGAGGUUGCUUCGGUAACUGAGCUAGCGGCGGACGGGUGAGUAAAGCUUAGGAAUCUGCCUAUUAGUGGGGGACAACAUUUCGAAAGGGAUGCUAAUACCGCAUACGUCCUACGGGAGAAAGCAGGGGAUCACUUGUGACCUUGCGCUAAUAGAUGAGCCUAAGUCGGAUUAGCUAGUUGGUGGGGUAAAGGCCUACCAAGGCGACGAUCUGUAGCGGGUCUGAGAGGAUGAUCCGCCACACUGGGACUGAGACACGGCCCAGACUCCUACGGGAGGCAGCAGUGGGGAAUAUUGGACAAUGGGGGGAACCCUGAUCCAGCCAUGCCGCGUGUGUGAAGAAGGCCUUUUGGUUGUAAAGCACUUUAAGNGGGGAGGAGGCUCUCUUGGUUAAUACCUGAGAGAAGUG